This 465-nucleotide ribosomal RNA is filed under the name uncultured bacterium. RNAcentral describes it as "bacterial SSU rRNA". It matches the Rfam family "Bacterial small subunit ribosomal RNA", at positions 338 to 795 of the family's 1533-position model. The record is from RNAcentral.
CCUACGGGUUGCACCAGUGGGGAAUAUUGCACAAUGGGCGCAAGCCUGAUGCAGCCAUGCCGCGUGUAUGAAGAAGGCCUUCGGGUUGUAAAGUACUUUCAGCGGGGAGGAAGGUGUUGUGGUUAAUAACCGCAGCAAUUGACGUUACCCGCAGAAGAAGCACCGGCUAACUCCAUGCCAGCAGCCGCAGUAAUACGGAGGGUGCAAGCAUUAAUCGGAAUUACUGGGCGUAAAGCGCACGCAGGCGGUCUGUCAAGUCGGAUGUGGAGUCCCCGGGCUCAACCUGGGAACUGCAUUCGAAACUGGCAGGCUAGAGUCUUGUAGAGGGGGGUAGAAUUCCAGGUGUAGCGGUGAAAUGCGUAGAGAUCUGGAGGAGUACCGGUGGCGAAGGCGGCCCCCUGGACAAAGACUGACGCUCAGGUGCGAAAGCGUGGGGAGCAAACAGGAUUAGAUACCCGCGUAGUC